RNAcentral lists this ribosomal RNA (146 nucleotides) under uncultured Paxillus. RNAcentral describes it as "5.8S ribosomal RNA". It matches the Rfam family "5.8S ribosomal RNA", at positions 1 to 138 of the family's 154-position model. Rfam says of the family: 5.8S ribosomal RNA (5.8S rRNA) is a component of the large subunit of the eukaryotic ribosome. It is transcribed by RNA polymerase I as part of the 45S precursor that also contains 18S and 28S rRNA. Functionally, it is thought that 5.8S rRNA may be involved in ribosome translocation. The record is from RNAcentral. Lineage: Eukaryota; Fungi; Basidiomycota; Agaricomycetes; Boletales; Paxillaceae.
CCAUAAUACAACUUUCAGCAACGGAUCUCUUGGCUCUCGCAUCGAUGAAGAACGCAGCGAAUUGCGAUAAGUAAUGUGAAUUGCAGAUUUUCAGUGAAUCAUCGAAUCUUUGAACGCACCUUGCGCUCCUUGAUUCCGAGGAGCAU